This is a long non-coding RNA of Theobroma umbraticum, 949 nucleotides long. RefSeq lists it as uncharacterized. The record is from RefSeq and is a predicted model, not a curated record. Lineage: Eukaryota; Viridiplantae; Streptophyta; Magnoliopsida; Malvales; Malvaceae.
AGCACUGAUCAAUUCUUUCCAUAGUUACAUAAUUGUGUUUGUUUGCUGUGGUUACGUAAUUUUCCUUGUUUGUUUCCUUUCAGUUUUUAGCUUCUCGUUGUUUAUCAAUAACAAAAAUGUAUAAUUGGAACAUAUUCUGAUGCUUUAAAUACAAUAUCUUCUCCUUUUUGUACUGAUUAUAAAAUACAGAAAGGACAGGUUGACUGACAGGUAGAUUGCGAGAAGUCCAUGGCCCCAAGACAAAUGGCCAUUAAGAAAAGUCUCGUGUCAAUGAGGAAAAGGGUGAGGGUAUAUUCUUGGAAGAAAAAAGUGAGGAGAUCGAAAGCAGAGUUAGCUGAGAUGAGAGAAGAAAUGAAGCAUAAGAAUGAAGAGCUGGCAAGGCUUCUUCACCAACUUGUCCAAAGGAAACAACUGAUAAGAUCGGUGGCAAGGUCCAACACUUGGGUCAAUCACUUCGUUGAAGCAACGAUUGCAAGUUGGGAAGAUUAAGAGAGAGGGAACUACCUGAACCCAUCUUUCUUUCUGUUGAUGAGGCCGUAAAUGUUACGGUCAUGGAAUCGAUCACAAAGGUUUGGAGUUCAAAUGGUGGAAUCAGCAGAGGAGAGGGUAAGUUUGGCGGCGGAGGGGUUGGGUCGGCCACGGGUCAGGGCCAGGGACUAGUCAAUUGGUGGAGAAGGGCUUUUGGUGUUGUUGAUAAGACUUGCAUGAUGUUUGGAAGAUGAAUCACGUGUCAUGAUUCACUUUUAAGUUGAAUUUUGAAGAUGAGUCUGCAUGAACGAAGAGACAUAUUAUAUGUAAUUUUAAACUCUUUUUAAUUUUUUAAUAAUUAAUACUUGUAAUCUCUAUAUGAACAAUUGUAAUUUGUGUAAUCUCAUCCAUUGUUAAUAUCUUUGUAUAUACCAUGCAAAUGAAUAAAAAAAGCUGAUGAUGAAGUUUAAUUAAUGUGCAA